Solea solea (common sole) is the source of this 1708-nucleotide RNA transcript. It is a transcript of the gene named prune exopolyphosphatase, with no coding region annotated. Lineage: Eukaryota; Metazoa; Chordata; Actinopteri; Pleuronectiformes; Soleidae. The record is from RefSeq and is a predicted model, not a curated record. The transcript is spliced from 10 exons.
AAACACGUUACGAAAAACUUCCGACGUUACGUCCCUGAACGUGUCAUAACCUUUAACCCGCCGCCAUGUCACUGACUGUCACGUGAUACGAGAGAGCGAGAGAGAGAGACACACACAGCUAACGGACAUGGAGGAGUUUCUGACGAACUGUCGAAGGACACUGCUGUUGGGCUCUGAACGGUACCACGUGGUUCUGGGAAACGAGGCCUGUGAUGUGGACUCCAUGGUGUCUGCGAUGGCCUACGCCUACUUCCUGUCCAAGACUCUGUGCAGUGACGUGCUCGCUCUCCCUCUCAUGAACAUCCGAAGUCAUGAGCUCGCUCUUCGCUCUGAUAACAUCUUCCUGCUGCAUCAGAGCGGUGUGUCACAUGACCUCCUGACCUUCAGAGACCAGCUGGACCUGAGGGCGCUGCACAGAGAACAACGUCUGCAUCUGACACUGGUGGACCACAACGUCCUGUCCAGUUCAGACAGUGACCUGGAGGGAGCAGUGGUGGAGGUGAUUGACCAUCACCUGCUGGAGAGAAAGCUGUUGCCAUCCUGUCCUGUUACCGUGGAAACAGUGGGAUCCUGCGCCACCUUGGUAACGGAACGAAUCGUCAAGGAAGCUCCGGACAUCCUGAACCUGCAGCUCGCCCAACUGCUCUACGCUGCAGUGGUGUUGGACUGUGUGAACAUGGCGCCCUCUGCAGGAAAAGUGACUCCUAAAGACAGUCAGUUUGCUGCCAUGUUGGAGUGUCGUUUCCCCGCUCUGCCACAGAGGGGCGCUCUGUUCACUGCACUGCAGAAUGCCAAGUUUGACGUCUCAGGUCUGGACACUGAGCAGAUGUUGUUGAAGGACAUGAAAGUCGUCUCAGGAAGUUUGCGUCUCGCUGUCUCUGUCCUCUACAUCACACUGGAGGAGUUCCUGCAGAGGGCGGAGCUGGAGGCGGAGCUCUCAGCUUUUUGUCAAAAGCUUGGAUUUGAUUUGCUGCUGAUGAUGACCAUCUCCUUCACUGAGAGCAAAGAGCCAAUCAGAGAACUCGCUGUGUUCAGCCACAGCACCACCUGCAGGCAGCAGGUGAGCCACUUCCUGGAAGAGGCCCAUAGCCCCACCCUCAACCUCUGUCCAAUCAGCAGCCCCCAUCCUCACAUCACAGCCUAUCAUCAAGGAAACGCCGUGGCGUCUCGUAAGAAGCUCCUCCCCAUCGUCAAAAACUUCCUGAAGCAGCUGGAUGGAGAUGGUCGCCUAGGAAAUGGGGAGGGGGCGGAGUCAGGUGUCCCUCCUACACCGAUGAACAGUCUGAUCGAGGGUUGUCCUCUAGAUGGCGCUCUGCCCCACAUCAGCACUCAGGAUCUGGUGGACAAGGUCAGCAAGAUGGCCGACAGAAUAGGGGAGGAGUCUGACCUCUGACCUGUCAACGACAGCAGACCCAAGAACUCUAUCCUCAGCUGUGUCCUCGGUUCUGUCCUGUGUCCUCAGCUGUGUCCUCGGCUCUGUCCCGUGUCCUCAGCUGUGUCCUCAGCUAUGUCUUCAGCUGUGUCCUCCUCCCCUGCACAUGUGGGCGGAGUUUCUGUCCUGUUACCAUGGAGAGGCUUUUAUUGUGAAUGACGGAAUAAAACCUGUAGCAGAGCAGGUCAGCGUCGACCAAUCAGACGACACCUCUGCUCUGAAAUGUGGAUCAACCUGUUGAGCAGAGAGAGAGAGAGAGGGCGAGAGAGGGCGAGU